UACGGAGGAGGCAAGCGUUAUCCGGAAUUAUUGGGCGUAAAGCGUCCGCAGGUGGCACUUCAAGUCUGUCGUCAAAGACUGGGGCUUAACCCUGGAAAGGCGGUGGAAACUGAAGCGCUAGAGUGCGGUAGGGGUAGAGGGAAUUCCCGGUGUAGCGGUGAAAUGCGCAGAUAUCAGGAGGAACACCGGUGGCGAAGGCGGGUCUCUGGGCAGUAACUGACGCUGAGAAGCGAAAGCGUGGGGAGCGAACAGG
This 253-nucleotide ribosomal RNA is filed under the name uncultured bacterium. Its description in RNAcentral is "partial 16S ribosomal RNA". It matches the Rfam family "Bacterial small subunit ribosomal RNA", at positions 524 to 776 of the family's 1533-position model. The record is from RNAcentral.